GAUGAACGCUGGCGGCGUGCCUAAUACAUGCAAGUCGAGCGAACGGACGAGAAGCUUGCUUCUCUGAUGUUAGCGGCGGACGGGUGAGUAACACGUGGAUAACCUACCUAUAAGACUGGGAUAACUUCGGGAAACCGGAGCUAAUACCGGAUGAUAUUUUGAACCGCAUGGUUCAAAAGUGAAAGACGGUCUUGUUGUCACUUAUAGAUGGAUCCGCGCUGCAUUAGCUAGUUGGUAAGGUAACGGCUUACCAAGGCAACGAUGCAUAGCCGACCUGAGAGGGUGAUCGGCCACACUGGAACUGAGACACGGUCCAGACUCCGACGGGAGGCAGCGGUAGGGAAUCUUCCGCAAAGGGCGAAAGCCUGACGGAGCAACGCCGCGUGAGUGAUGAAGGUCUUCGGAUCGUAAAACUCUGUUAUUAGGGAAGAACAUAUGUGUAAGUAACUGUGCACAUCUUGACGGUACCUAAUCAGAAAGCCACGGCUAACUACGUG
This 497-nucleotide ribosomal RNA is filed under the name uncultured bacterium. RNAcentral's name for it is "partial 16S ribosomal RNA". It matches the Rfam family "Bacterial small subunit ribosomal RNA", at positions 28 to 507 of the family's 1533-position model. The record is from RNAcentral.